RNAcentral lists this ribosomal RNA (465 nucleotides) under uncultured bacterium. Its description in RNAcentral is "partial 16S ribosomal RNA". It matches the Rfam family "Bacterial small subunit ribosomal RNA", at positions 338 to 795 of the family's 1533-position model. The record is from RNAcentral.
CCUACGGGUGGCAGCAGUAGGGAAUCUUCCACAAUGGGCGAAAGCCUGAUGGAGCAACGCCGCGUGGGUGAAGAAGGUCUUCGGAUCGUAAAACCCUGUUGUUAGAGAAGAAAGUGCGUGAGAGUAACUGCUCACGUUUCGACGGUAUCUAACCAGAAAGCCACGGCUAACUACGUGCCAGUAGCCGCGGUAAUACGUAGGUGGCAAGCGUUAUCCGGAUUUAUUGGGCGUAAAGGGAACGCAGGCGGUCUUUUAAGUCUGAUGUGAAAGCCUUCGGCUUAACCGGAGUAGUGCAUUGGAAACUGGGAGACUUGAGUGCAGAAGAGGAGAGUGGAACUCCAUGUGUAGCGGUGAAAUGCGUAGAUAUAUGGAAGAACACCAGUGGCGAAAGCGGCUCUCUGGGCUGUAACUGACGCUGAGGUUCGAAAGCGUGGGUAGCAAACAGGAUUAGAUACCCCUGUAGUC